RNAcentral lists this ribosomal RNA (440 nucleotides) under uncultured bacterium. RNAcentral describes it as "partial 16S ribosomal RNA". It matches the Rfam family "Bacterial small subunit ribosomal RNA", at positions 338 to 795 of the family's 1533-position model. The record is from RNAcentral.
CCUACGGGAGGCAGCAGUGGGGAAUAUUGCACAAUGGGGGAAACCCUGAUGCAGCGACGCCGCGUGGGUGAAGAAGUAUUUCGGUUUGUAAACUUCUAUCAUCAGGGAAGAAAAUGACGGUACCUAACUAAUAAGCCCCGGCUAACUCCGUGCCAGCAGCCGCGGUAAUACGUAGGGGGCAAGCGUUACCCGGAUUUACUGGGUGUAAAGGGAGCGUAGGCGGUGAAGCAAGUCAGAUGUGAAAGCUCGGGGCUCAACCACAGGACUGCAUUUGAAACUGUUUUACUAGAGUACAGGAGAGGUAGGUGGAAUUCCUAGUGUAGGGGUAAAAUGCGUAGAUAUUAGGAGGAAUACCAGUUGCGAAGGCGACUUACUGGACCGUAACUGACGCUGAGGCUCGAAAGCGUGGGGAGCAAACAGGAUUAGAUACCCGGGUAGUC